Molecule: ribosomal RNA, 468 nt
Filed under: uncultured bacterium
Lineage: Bacteria
Description: partial 16S ribosomal RNA
Rfam family: Bacterial small subunit ribosomal RNA
Source: RNAcentral
GACGAACGCUGGCGGCGUGCUUAACACAUGCAAGUCGAACGGAAAGGCCCUGCUUUUGUGGGGUGCUCGAGUGGCGAACGGGUGAGUAACACGUGAGUAACCUGCCCUUGACUUUGGGAUAACUUCAGGAAACUGGGGCUAAUACCGGAUAGGAGCUCCUGCUGCAUGGUGGGGGUUGGAAAGUUUCGGCGGUUGGGGAUGGACUCGCGGCUUAUCAGCUUGUUGGUGGGGUAGUGGCUUACCAAGGCUUUGACGGGUAGCCGGCCUGAGAGGGUGACCGGCCACAUUGGGACUGAGAGACGGACCAGACUCGUACGGGAGGCAGCAGUGGGGAAUAUUGCACAAUGGGCGGAAGCCUGAUGCAGCAACGCCGCGUGCGGGAUGACGGCCUUCGGGUUGUAAACCGCUUUCGCCUGUGACGAAGCGUGAGUGACGGUAAUGGGUAAAGAAGCACCGGCUAACUACGUG